This is a long non-coding RNA of Harmonia axyridis, 475 nucleotides long. RefSeq lists it as uncharacterized. Lineage: Eukaryota; Metazoa; Arthropoda; Insecta; Coleoptera; Coccinellidae. The transcript has 2 exons. The record is from RefSeq and is a predicted model, not a curated record.
CCGAGGGACAGGGUUAGGAACUAAUGUAUCGCUAUUUCACACAAACACAUAUUUCAUUCUUAUCUACUGUAACUGUAAAUGAUGAAAUGUUUUCGGCGUAAAUUCCAACCUCUCUUUUGUGUUUCAGUUCUCUCCUGAUUCUUAUUUUCUUGCAGGUUCAAGUUUGUUAAUAAUAAUAACAUCUUUGUUUCAGAAGGUUCUCAUUUACAAGAAAAGAACAAAUGAAACAAUGUCAAAAACUCUUUACAUAAAAAAGUCCUAAAUUUUAGAGGGUUCCAGUUGAAUUAAAUGAUCAUGUAGGUUUCAAAAGGCUUACGUUGGAGUUCUGCCAAAGAAUUGAAGAUUCCAUUCAAUCCUUCGAUUUCCUGGAUAUUUGUCAGUAAUCACAAAAAUAAUUAUUUUAUUGUCAAUCUUCAAAUGAAAUGUUUCCUUCUUUAAUAUUUAAGUGGUACAAUACAAUAUAUUUAUAAUUUGA